This 1232-nucleotide long non-coding RNA is filed under the name Sus scrofa (pig). RNAcentral's name for it is "lncRNA (ENSSSCG00005036833.1)". Lineage: Eukaryota; Metazoa; Chordata; Mammalia; Artiodactyla; Suidae. The record is from RNAcentral.
GUGUUGUGGUGUCAGGCUGGGCCGUGUCCUGAGCCACCCCAGCCCGGGUGGUGCUCCCAGCAAGUGCCCCCAUGCCCACUGCUCCCUCCCCUGCCGCACACCCUGAUCUGGAUGCCACCCCCCACCCCAGAGGAGCGCAGCAGUGCCUCCGUCAGGCUGGCAGGGCCAGCGCACUCACAGGUCACCAGGCUGGGGUUGGGGCGAGAGGCUAGGGCUCAACCGGUAGGACCCAGGGACCGGGCAGGCAGGGCUCCUUGUCCCCUUGGGGGGCACUGGUGUUUGCCCUGAACCCUGAGCACUCCCAGGUCAGAGAAGCCCCCUCCUUAGACACAGGGCGAGGCCCACUGAAGGCCGCUGGCAGAGCCCUGAGCCCCACGUGGGCCUGAGUAUCUGUCCCUGGACACCUGGGAAGAGGGCUGUCCUGGGGCUCUGCUGGGGGUGUGACUGAGGCUGGGGGGGGGCCCUGGGCUGCGCCAGCUCUGAGGCCUCUGCACCCCCCAGCCUCUCCUUGGCGGGAGCAUGGUCACUCAGGUGGGCUCCCUGGACUUGGCACCCAGGUCCCUGGGCAGAGGAAGCGCAGGGGAUGCACCGCGCAGUGAGGGGGUCUCUUAUCUCCUGUCCCCCUUCUCGUGGCAGUGACCUCCUUGGAGCAGAGCCUCCAGUCCCUGGGGACGCCAGAUGACACACAGGAGCUGCGGGACAGCCUAGGACUUGCACAUCAGAGGACGAAGGAGGCACGAGGCAGGCUGAUCCGGUUGCGUGGCCUGGCGGCUGUUGGAGCGGCUUAGCGCCCAGAGCCCGGGCGCAUGCCGGGCCGUCUCCUCUCCGCCUCGCAGAGCUCAGACCAGCAGCAUCAGACCCACAUGGACCCUCAUCCCAGCCCCGCCGCGACCGCACGCGCCUGCGCGCAGAGACCCCCGGGGCUGUGCUGAGGAACCAGGAUGGGGAGAGUAGGUCCCCCCAGGCCAUCCGCCGUUGUCUGCGCUUAGGGUCGUCCUGGGUGGAAGGGGCCCUGGUCCCUGGGCUGGCCUCACGCUGACUUGUCAGAGCUGCCUCUGGAGCCCAGGGCACGACCCGGGCCCUCCCAGCGGACCAGACCAGGUCCCCCUUAACACAUGGGGAACCUGAGGCAGGAGAGGGAGGGGCUUUCCUGGGGCCACCGAGCGAGAGCAGAGCUGUGGAGUGUCCCUAGGACCUCGGGGUGGGGUUCGCCUGUCACCUGGGGCCCGGGA